AUUUCGAGUUUUUGGGCUUCAUGCUGUGCAGCCAAGCUGUUGCAGACCUGCAUCUCUUCUUUGCUGUGUGAUGCCUUAAGCCGUAUGAAUUCUGCCUGAAGCAGCACUGGGAACAGAUUAUCUUUCAGCAUAAUUCCAUGAGCUUCCAUGGUCAGGAUGGAAAGCUUUCAGCUGUGGGCCUAUCUUUCUCAGCUAAGAGGUAAUGCAGCCUUAACAGGUGGAAAGGCUUAGUCUGAUCCAUAAGGAUUGAACAGCUGAGCUUCUAGAAGCAGUAUGCAGGUGUGCACAGCCAUUGUGGUUAGUAAGCCCAAAUCUUUGGAGGGGUCCUGAACUUCACUGGAAGCCUGAACAGGAGUGCCUUGCUGAGAUGACACUACCCAGAUGUCCUUGCUCCUGUUAGCUGGCACUUUAGUACACAGUCUUUCUGAAGUGGCUUAUGUUCAGGUGGUGACCAUCUUUAGCAGUUUCAAAAACAGUACAUGUACUGAACCCAACAGGGGAUGAUCCUUCUGAGCGCAGAGGCAUACAGUUCUGUUUAUCACAACCUGUUCGUGACAGGUAUGAGUACCAUCUUUGUUAUCCAUGAGUAGAUCCGUUCUGCAGUGCAGCUCUGCAAGCAAAUGACAGUUGUCAUGGAUUUCCUCCAUCUUUGUCCCUACCUUGUGUAGAAAACCUACAGAUUUCAUUGGAACUUGGCACUGGAUGCUACUUGAAGAAGCUUGAUGUCAAUGAAUCUUUCUGAAUUAGGACUUAGGAUUUUCUAUCUGGAUACUGGAACAUAUUGUACUCCAAUCAGAGCUCUUCAUAUCUUCUAAUCUUUGCAUUCUUCAGACUAAAACAGUGUGAAGCAUGUGGAGCACUUUAUCCUGUAAUACAACCCAGUUUUUGCCAUCAUGUAAAGUUAGUGUAUUCUACAGUGUUGGGUACAAUAUCAUUAGAAAACAAGAAAUAAAAGAACGUUCUUUUCCUGACUUUGAAAUGCAUUGUAACAUGGUAAAUCCUACCUUUUCCUCUAAAUCCUGCUGUUCUACAAUAUAGUUAUUAUGGGGGGCUGUUUUAUAUCAACUGAGACUUUCUGCAAGGAUUACUUAUCCUCUCUGCACCCAUCCCUUGUUUUGGUUUCUGUAUGUCGUUCAACUGAUAGUUGAGCAGAUUG
Long non-coding RNA from Gallus gallus (chicken), 1156 nucleotides. The record is from Ensembl. Lineage: Eukaryota; Metazoa; Chordata; Aves; Galliformes; Phasianidae.